GCCUUCAUGGCGUAUUGGUCAGCACGCUGGGCGAUUAUUCCAGAGGUCCGUGGUUCGAACCCCGGCGAAGGCG
RNAcentral lists this transfer RNA (73 nucleotides) under Stegodyphus mimosarum. It matches the Rfam family "tRNA". Rfam says of the family: Transfer RNA (tRNA) molecules are approximately 80 nucleotides in length. Their secondary structure includes four short double-helical elements and three loops (D, anti-codon, and T loops). Further hydrogen bonds mediate the characteristic L-shaped molecular structure. tRNAs have two regions of fundamental functional importance: the anti-codon, which is responsible for specific mRNA codon recognition, and the 3' end, to which the tRNAs corresponding amino acid is attached (by aminoacyl-tRNA synthetases). tRNAs cope with the degeneracy of the genetic code in two manners: having more than one tRNA (with a specific anti-codon) for a particular amino acid; and 'wobble' base-pairing, i.e. permitting non-standard base-pairing at the 3rd anti-codon position. The record is from Rfam by way of RNAcentral. Lineage: Eukaryota; Metazoa; Arthropoda; Arachnida; Araneae; Eresidae.